This 566-nucleotide ribosomal RNA is filed under the name Beauveria bassiana. Its description in RNAcentral is "eukaryotic LSU rRNA". The stretch from base 194 to 345 matches the Rfam family "5.8S ribosomal RNA". Lineage: Eukaryota; Fungi; Ascomycota; Sordariomycetes; Hypocreales; Cordycipitaceae. The record is from RNAcentral.
UUCCGUAGGUGAACCUGCGGAGGGAUCAUUACCGAGUUUACAACUCCCAAACCCUUAUGUGAACCUACCUAUCGUUGCUUCGGCGGACUCGCCCCAGCCGGACGCGGACUGGACCAGCGGCCGCCGGGGACCAUCAAACUCUUGUAUUAUCAGCAUCUUCUGAAUACGCCGCAAGGCAAAACAAAUAAAUUAAAACUUUCAAUAACGGAUCUCUUGGCUCUGCAUCGAUGAAGAACGCAGCGAAAUGCGAUAAGUAAUGUGAAUUGCAGAAUCCAAUGAAUCAUCGAAUCUUUGAACGCACAUUGCGCCCGCCAGCAUCUGGCGGGCAUGCUUGUUCGAGCGUCAUUUCAACCCUCGACCUCCCUUUGGGGAAGUCGGCGUUGGGGACCGGCAGCACACCGCCGGCCCUGAAAUGGAGUGGCGGCCCGUCCGCGGCGACCUCUGCGAGUAAACCAACUCGCACCGGAACCCCGACGUGGCCACGCCGUAAAACACCCAACUUCUGAACGUUGACCUCGAAUCAGGUAGGACUACCCGCUGAAUUAAGCAUAUCAAUAAGCGGAGGA